This 772-nucleotide long non-coding RNA is filed under the name Nicotiana benthamiana. RNAcentral describes it as "long non-coding RNA (NBEN_LNC008824)". The record is from RNAcentral. Lineage: Eukaryota; Viridiplantae; Streptophyta; Magnoliopsida; Solanales; Solanaceae.
GGAUCUUGAUGACAAAAAAGGCAAUAGGUUUCUUUUUUAUCCUGCACACGACGGACAGGAGAAGCAAAGUACAGCUCUGGGACAAGAAUCAUAUUCAAUUGCCAACAUGAAAGAAAAACUGUAUGCACAACAAGAUAGAAAGGUUAUUGUUUCUUUUUUACAAAGUUACUAGGAAUCAUAAAUGAACGGUGUUUACUGUUUACUGAGAAAUAUACUCGGACUUCAGCAGGUGUUGCCGGGAUAGAUAAGAACAUGCUAUUAGUGUGAAAGUUUUGGGAGGGAAAGCUUAAAAAUGGAUCAGGGGAUGUGACUCUGUUGGCUCUAUUGUGGACACUAAAGUACGACCCAGUACAGUACCACUCAGUGGUGUCUGGGGAGGGUAGUGUGUACGCAGCCUUACACAUAAAUGUACGGUGUUAACUGUUUACUGAGAAAUAUACGCACUUCAGCAGGUGUUGCAGGGCUAGAUAAGAACAUGCUAUUAGUGUGAAAGUUGUGGGAGGGAAAGCUAAAAAAUGGACCAGGGGAUGUGACUCUGUUGGCUCUCGUGUGGACACCGUUGAGCAAAAAUAAUUUCGUUUCAAUUGAAAGAGAUAAAAAGCAUUUUUCAAAACACUUAAGCAGAAUCUUUUUUCCCUUAACCAUAGAAGCACACAUGAUAUCCUAGUCACCAAUGGAUGCUCUUUGUGCAGAACCAUAUAUUUGAUCAUGGAGCAAAACAUUAAGAGGCAUAUCUUUUAAAAAGGAACAUCAAUAGGCAUUUAUGUCUACU